RNAcentral lists this ribosomal RNA (253 nucleotides) under uncultured bacterium. RNAcentral describes it as "partial 16S ribosomal RNA". It matches the Rfam family "Bacterial small subunit ribosomal RNA", at positions 524 to 776 of the family's 1533-position model. The record is from RNAcentral.
GACGGAGGGAGCUAGCGUUGUUCGGAAUCACUGGGCGUAAAGGGCGCGUAGGCGGCGCCGGCAGUCGGCCGUGAAAGCCCGGGGCUCAACCCCGGAGGUGCGGCCGAGACGCCGGUGCUGGAGGCCGGAAGAGGAGGGUGGAAUACCCAGUGUAGAGGUGAAAUUCGUAGAUAUUGGGUGGAACACCGGUGGCGAAAGCGGCUCUCUGGUCCGGUCCUGACGCUGAGGCGCGAAAGCGUGGGGAGCAAACAGG